RNAcentral lists this ribosomal RNA (495 nucleotides) under uncultured bacterium. Its description in RNAcentral is "partial 16S ribosomal RNA". It matches the Rfam family "Bacterial small subunit ribosomal RNA", at positions 28 to 505 of the family's 1533-position model. The record is from RNAcentral.
GAUGAACGCUGGCGGCGUGCCUAAUACAUGCAAGUCGAGCGAACAGAUGAGGAGCUUGCUCCUCUGACGUUAGCGGCGGACGGGUGAGUAACACGUGGAUAACCUACCUAUAAGACUGGGAUAACUUCGGGAACCCGGAGCUAAUACCGGAUAAUAUAUUGAACCGCAUGGUUCAAUAGUGAAAGACGGUUUUGCUGUCACUUAUAGAUGGAUCCGCGCCGCAUUAGCUAGUUGGUAAGGUAACGGCUUACCAAGGCAACGAUGCGUAGCCGACCUGAGAGGGAGCAGUGACACUCGAAAUGUGAGACGGGGCCCAGACUCCUAGGAGGGACAGCAGUGGAAAAUUUGCCGCAAGGGGCGAGAGCCAGACAGCGCAACGCCGCGUGUGUAGAGAGUGUCUUGGUUGCGAAAAACUCUGAUAUGGGGGAAAAACAAAUGUGUAAAUAACUAGGCGCGUCGAGGCGAUCCCAAAACAGAAAGCCGCGGCAAUCUGUG